Molecule: non-coding RNA, 135 nt
Organism: Caerostris darwini
Lineage: Eukaryota; Metazoa; Arthropoda; Arachnida; Araneae; Araneidae
Source: the annotation of a GenBank genome assembly
AACGGCCAUACCAUGCUGAAUAUACCGGUUCUCGUUAGAUCACCGAAGUCAAGCAUCAUUGGGCGCGGUCAGUACUUGGGAACAGGUGACCCUGACUUGGGUUCAGGGUGACCACCUGGGAACACCGCUUGCCGU